CCUACGGGAGGCAGCAGUGAGGAAUAUUGGUCAAUGGCCGUAAGGCUGAACCAGCCAAGUAGCGUGAGGGCAGAUUGCCCUAUGGGUUGUAAACCUCUUUUAGGCGGGGAUAAAGGUGUCCACGUGGGGAUGUUGGCAGGUACCGCAGGAAUAAGGACGGGCUAAUUCGGUGCCAGCCGCGGCGGGAAUAGGGAAGGUCCGGGCGUUAUCCGGAUUGAUUGGGUUUAAAGGGAGCGUAGAUGGGUUGUUAAGUCAGUUGUGAAAGUUUGCGGCUCAACCGUAAAAUUGCAAUUGAUACUGGCAGUCUUGAGUACAGUUGAGGUAGGCGGAAUUCGUGGUGUAGCGGUGAAAUGCUUAGAUAUCACGAAGAACCCCGAUUGCGAAGGCAGCUUACUAAUCUGUGACUGACAUUGAUGCUCGAAAGUGUGGGUAUCAAACAGGAUUAGAUACCCCUGUAGUC
This 460-nucleotide ribosomal RNA is filed under the name uncultured bacterium. Its description in RNAcentral is "partial 16S ribosomal RNA". It matches the Rfam family "Bacterial small subunit ribosomal RNA", at positions 338 to 795 of the family's 1533-position model. The record is from RNAcentral.